AGCGAUUCUCAGGUGACACACUCUGGAACCAGAGAGGAGGGAGCCUGAUUCUGGGGUGCGUCACCCGAGAACAGCC
Molecule: non-coding RNA, 76 nt
Organism: Myotis lucifugus (little brown bat)
Lineage: Eukaryota; Metazoa; Chordata; Mammalia; Chiroptera; Vespertilionidae
Source: Rfam